ACAGAGACACGUCAUCAGAGUGCGCAACAGGACUCUGUACUGUCGGGUUGCUGUUAACAUCAAAACAUUUUCAUUAAAUCGAUUUUAAUCCAAACUAAAGUUUUGUUUCUAAGGAUUCCACGACGCGGUUAGCCUUUACGGCUGGGAUUGCAAGUUUGCGUUCCUUUUUUUUGCGUGUAUUCCGCGAGUGCUAACUGGCUGUACUACAGCCACCUGGUCGUCGUGGGAAAGACUCAUUGUUAUCUUUUCAUAAAAAAAACUGGCUGGAGUAAAGAGCCAAUCUGGACACUAAGGAGAUCCUGAGGGAAAUCGACGAGUACCAACAGCUUUACGCUAUGAAGGAACAACAUACUCCUUCAUGGAAAGAUCCGAACACCUCACAAAAUAACUUUAACCCAACAAGAAAAGAAAAACAGGGUGCCAAUAGUUAUGGAACCCACUGUAUGUGCAUCAGAUGCAGUAGUAUGCUGGCUUUGUCCACAUUUGGGGUCAACUUGGUUCCUCCCAGAAGUAUGAGAAGAUUUUUCAAUGUCUCGUGCCAAAAGGAAUUGACAGGCAGAGACGGAAUGAAUGACAUUGCCUUUCUAAACAAAGACGGGGACAGUUUUCCUACUGAGUCCAGAAAGCAGAGCCCAGUGGUAUCUGCUGCCGCCACGUUAUGCGGGUAUCUGGACAAGCUGAGCGGGCCACUGAAGGUCUGGAGGUCCCUCUGGUUCAUAUACGAAGAGAAGGAGUGUCAGCUGGUCUACUACAAGUGUGCCCAGGAUGUGAAUCCACUGGGAUGGAUUGACCUGUCCAAUGCCAUACUGGGAGACAUACCACAGGCAGACCAGGGGACCUUCUACAUUCAAACACCCGAGCGCACCUUCACCCUCAAGGCUGUGAAUUGCGAGUCUAUGAUAUACUGGCUGAAGCAGCUCCAGUUGAAGAGGUGGCAUCAUGGGAACAUUUCUGGAAAGCUGGGAAUGGUCACCAGUCACCAUGCACUACGACGAUACGCCACGCUGAGUGACGUCCUCCUCAGACACACUCCGACAGGAAUUCAUAAGGAAUACUUACUCCGGAGCCGCUCCUCCCAGGAGCUCAGCCACAGCCUCAGCUGGGAGGAACUCUGGGAUCCAUUCCUGCCACUCAAAGACAUCCAGGCCCCUCCAUAUUUUGACCAGGACAAAUCACCUCCAAAAACAAAUAUUGAGCCCUCUGGGCCAAAAACACAGUGGGUCCAGGAGAUAGAGGCACCAAAGGGACACCAGAGCUCCCUAAGCAGUGAGGGCUCCUCUUCUAACCCCGCAGACAAGACUGCUAGUCCACAGCAGGAAGAGCCUCCAGACACCGCCAGUCUUCAACAGGAAGUGCUCAGUCUGGCAGGCCAGGUCAAGGCCCAGAAGGAUCUAGUAUCCCUGUUGCAGAAGGCCCUGGAGUUGGCCCAGCAGGAGAAAUUGACUCCUGCAGUAGAGUCCCCGAGGUCGGAGUGUGAAUGGAAGAGUUCCAACUCACAACCAUGGAAUCAAGGCGAGUGCAACACAGAUCAUUCGUAUGGCCUGCAGGUUGCGCCACUGCUGAGGCACGACUGUGUGGCCGAAUCUCAGGAUCACCUCCGGCUACUGGCUGAGAGGAACCAGGCUGAGAGAGAGUUGGUCCUCCGUCUGUCCCAACAAGUGGCUGAGAGUUUGGCCGACCCCCAGCGAAGCCUCGUCCGCGGUUGGACUGUCCUUGAAACGCAGGAGCAGCUGAGACAGGAGAUUAGGAAUCUUAAGGACAACAUUGAGGCCUACAAGACUCAGAAUACUUACUUGAACGCAGAGAUCUACAAGUUAACCAAAGAAUGGAGGAAGAGUACAGAACAAGAGAAGUGCUUGAUGAUAAAGUGUGCCCAUCUGGAGGCCAAGGUGUUCCGGAUGGAGAGCAGGUCUCUGACAGUACUCUUCAAGCUACAGGAGAGCAGAGGUUUGGAGAGACACAGGGAAGCCAUAAAGACCCUGAUCACCGACACUCUUCGGGAGGGCGGGAGGGACAUUCUGGAACUGAACCCUGCCAGGGAAUAUGAUGAGUAUGGGUUUAGAAUCUCCACUGACAUCCAAAUGGAUGAUAUGAAGCUGCUGGCCAAACUGCAAGCAUUAGGGAUUCAUUCCCACGAUCCCCCACAACAACAGAAUGAUGGGGAAGAGGAGAGGGACAGCGAGCGUCUUUGGGGCCGCUGGGCACAGCACUUUGAUGGCAGACGAUCAGACAAGGCGGUGGCCUCUCCGAAGCUGAAGGGGCUUCUGAGAAAGGGCGUGCCGUACCACUACAGGCGUCGUGUGUGGCGCUGGAUAGUGUGGAGCCGCACCCGCUCCCUGAGAGAGCGCCAGCCCCACUGGUACCAACAGAUAUGCUUUAGGAGCCAGGCUGCUUCGGCCCACCGGGUCUCGCAGCAGAUCUGGUUGGACCUGGAGACCACUCUGACAGGGAACCGCCACUUCUCCUUCCCCGCCAAGCGUGCCGUCCGGCAGCUACAUCGUAUCCUCCUAGCCUUUUCUUGUCAUAACCGGUCUGUCGGCUACUGCCAGGGCCUCAACAGAUUGGCUGCAAUGGCCUUGCUAGUGUUGCAGAGCGAGGAAGAUGCUUUCUGGUGUCUGGUGGCCAUUGUCGAGACCAUCAUGCCUCAGGACUUCUAUGGCAAGACUCUAACAGCAUCUCAGGUGGAGCAGCGCGUGCUCAAGGACUUCAUAGCAGAGAAGAUGCCGAGACUAACAGCCCAUUUCCACUGUCACGGAGUGGACGUGUCCCUGGUCACCUCCGACUGGUUCCUAGCUGCGUUUGUGGAGAGGCUGACCAGUGACGUCCUGCUCAGAAUUUGGGACGCCUUCCUGUACGAGGGCACCAAGGUGAUAUUUCGCUAUGCAUUGGCGCUCUUCAAAUACACAGAAGAGGACGUUCUGAAGAUUCAUCAUAGUGUGGAUAUCUACCAGUACCUCCGUUUCAUCACCAGAACCAUCACAGACAGCAGAUCCUUACAAGACCUGGACCUUACCUGGAACUUCGUCCUCGAUACCGCCGUCUCUUUUUCCUGCGAAUGACGGGGAUGAGGGCCUUGUCGGGCAUCUGAAGUAAAUCCUUCCCAUUCGACUCGUUCCUCCGGUAUGGGAGACUGACAACCAUUGCAUUCUGCGACAUGAACCCGUUUCCUUUCAGGCUGCUCCGUCAGAGACGGGCCCUGCACCUUCAGUGUGUGCAUGUACAGUUGAGUGAGUUAGAGCGUAUCCAGAGGGAGCUGGGUAGAGAGCGACGCCAGCACAAGGACAGGGAGCUUGGGCUCGUUUCCAGCGAGGAUGAGGGGGACACAUGAGCUCUGGAUAAAAUGCUCUGGCCAGAUUCCAAUCGGAACUUUUACCCCCUGCGUCCUGUUACUCACUUAUCUCAGUAGAUAUUGUCGGUUUGUCAUUUCUUGUUUGAUGUUUUCAAUGUUCAUGUUUUAUUGUCACGUGCAUAAAUACAGUGAAAUGCCUUUCUUGCAAGCUCUUUCCCAACAAUGCAGUAAUCAAUAUCAAUAGUACUAUAAAAUGUAUAAAGUAGAAUAAAAAAUGACGAGAAAUAGAAAUUAGAACACGAGGAAGCAAGUAAGCUAUAUACAGGGUCAGUACCAGUACGAUAUCUACAAUGCCAUAUUUACAAUGUGUUGGGAGUGGUAGGAGUAGAUACAUCGAGCUCCAAAAGUAUUGGGACAGUGACACAUUUGAUGUUGUUUUGGUUCUGUACUCCAGCACUUUGGAUUUGAAAUGAUACAAUGACUGACUGUGAGGUUAAAGUGCAGACUGUCAGUUUAAAUCUGAGGGUAUUGUCACCCAUAUCAGGUGAACUGUUUAGAAAUUACAGCCCUUUUUGUACAUAGUCCCCCCCCAUUUUAGAAGACCAAAAGUAUUGGGACAAAUUCACUUGCGUGUAUUACAGUAGUAAAACGUUAAGCAUUUGGUCCCAUUUUUAUAGCACGCAAUGACUACAUCAAGCUUGCGACUCUGUUGGAUGCAUUUGCUGUUUGUUUUGGUUGUGUUUCAGAUUAUUUGUGUCCCCCAAAAAAUGCAUGGUCACUUUUACUGUAAAUAACAAUAGAAUGUUUCAAAACACUUCUACAUUACUGUGGGUGCUACUCUAUUUAUGGAUAAUCCUGAAUGAAUUGUGAAUAAUGAGUGAGAAAGUUAGAGGCAUAAAUAUUUUUCUCACUCAUCAUUAUUCAUGAUUCAUUCAGGACUUUGUAACUGUCCCAAUACUUUUGAAACUCACUCUUUGUAUAGGGCUAAAUUGACUAGGCAUCAGGAUAUAUGAUAUGUGGCAGACCAGGGGGUUUGGUCAAGAUGUUUACACAGAUCAGACACGGACAGAGUAGGAUUAGCUCAGUUUCAAUGGUGUUUAUUUAAAUAAUAAAUCAAAAAGAAAAGGAUAGGUCUCCCCCAUGAGACCCUCUACAGGAUACCGUCUUCUGGGCUCCAGGUCUUGCUGUAUCCUGCCAGGAUCAAAACUGCACUCACUCCUGUUACCUCUGUAACCAUCCCCAACUAUACAGGAGUCCUUUCUUCCCCCCCACUCUCUUCCUGUGUGAUGCUUUAUGGGCCCUUGAUUACACACCAACUCCCAAUCAGCUCCCUGGCUGGAAAAGCUGUCGAGACCUGGCAUGUCCAGAAGAUGGAGCCAUCGCCUCGUGAUGUACACACCGUCUGUCACCAGGCCUCGACGAGUCUCCCCCUGGUGGCUGACUUGCUGUAUGUCACAAAUGAUUGUAUGUGAGUGUGUGUGUGUGUGUGUGUGUGUGUGUGAGCAAAUGAAGCGUGAGUGUGCAUAAUCAGUUAAUAAAUAAUGCAAAAAUACUG
Molecule: RNA transcript, 4844 nt
Organism: Oncorhynchus kisutch (coho salmon)
Lineage: Eukaryota; Metazoa; Chordata; Actinopteri; Salmoniformes; Salmonidae
Gene name: TBC1 domain family member 2A
Exons: 15
Source: RefSeq, a predicted model, not a curated record